This 623-nucleotide long non-coding RNA is filed under the name Mytilus galloprovincialis (Mediterranean mussel). The record is from RNAcentral. Lineage: Eukaryota; Metazoa; Mollusca; Bivalvia; Mytilida; Mytilidae.
GCCUUUUGUAAUAAGAAUACCACUGAAAGCAAACAUUAAUCAAUCAAAGGACUGUCUAUUCCAGAGUCUGAGAUUCAAACCAGGCCUAGUGUAUUGAAUAACGCAAAAUUGCUCCGAAUGUGUCUUUUAUUAAGAAUGUAAUUUUGAAUUUCUUCACAUUAUACAUACAUAAAAAGCAUUUCUCGGCAAAACAUGUAAAUUACACAAAUAUUUGUAUGGUGACAUUAUUUUAUAACGAUUGUAGAAAAUUGACUAUAAACAAUUUAUAAUCUUUGUUAUAAUACUAAAAUACAUGCUGUUAUAACAAAUGUAAAAAAUGUAAAACACACGUCACAUAGCACUUUUUAUGAUAAAAUUAAAAUUGUUAGCACUUAAAAAACAGUAGAGUUAUCUGUCUUCUUACAAUGAUCGUGGUUAAUAUAAAGUAAACUUUUUCAGAUGUACCGUGUACAAAAAAAAUAACAUUAAAGGCAUCAUAGAUAUAAUUGUAAUAAUUCUUUUAUGAUUGUAUUAGCAUUACUUAAAAGAGAAGUGAAAAGAAUUCAUUGCAAUGGUACAGCAAUUUUUAAAACACCUUAUACUGCAUGCUCUGAAACAUCGGAGACAAAGGGACCCAUACAUUA